RNAcentral lists this ribosomal RNA (274 nucleotides) under uncultured bacterium. RNAcentral describes it as "partial 16S ribosomal RNA". It matches the Rfam family "Bacterial small subunit ribosomal RNA", at positions 523 to 796 of the family's 1533-position model. The record is from RNAcentral.
AUACAGAGGGUGCGAGCGUUAAUCGGAAUUACUGGGCGUAAAGGGUGCGUAGGCGGCUUGAUAAGUCGGAUGUGAAAGCCCCGGGCUUAACCUGGGAAUUGCAUUCGAUACUGUCAGGCUAGAGUAUGUCAGAGGUUGGCGGAAUUCCUGGUGUAGCGGUGAAAUGCGUAGAUAUCAGGAGGAACACCAGUGGCGAAGGCGGCUAACUGGGGCAAUACUGACGCUGAGGCACGAAAGCGUGGGGAGCAAACAGGAUUAGAUACCCUAGUAGUAC